GUGCUGAGUGCACUCCCCACUUUUGCCCUGACUAUUUUGAAGAUGCCGAAGAAAAUACUAGCCGAGGUGGACAAGAUCAGAAGACGUUUUCUAUGGGCUCAAGAAGAAGUGAUCAGUGUCGGGAAAUGCAAAGUAAGCUGGCCGGUGGUGUGCACUCCGAUCGACAACGGUGGCCUGGGCAUCUCCAACUUGCAUCGUUUCAGCCGUGCACUCAGGCUCAGGUGGCUAUGGUUCUCUUGGCUCACACCCAACAGGCCCUGGGUGGGCAUGCAACUGCCAUGUGAUCAAGGAGACAGAGAUCUU
RNAcentral lists this ribosomal RNA (303 nucleotides) under Triticum aestivum (bread wheat). RNAcentral's name for it is "partial small subunit ribosomal RNA". The record is from RNAcentral. Lineage: Eukaryota; Viridiplantae; Streptophyta; Magnoliopsida; Poales; Poaceae.